GGUGAUGCUGGCUCCGUCCAGGAUGGCCUGGGCCAGGCUGUGGUCAUUGGCCUCCACGGCGUAGGCUGCAGCCUUCAGGGCAUCCCAGAUUUCCUUGCGGCCCUCGAAGGCGGGCGCCGUGUCCCAGAACUCGUCCCGCUUGCUGCGCAGCUGCCCGUCCGUCAUGGGGUAGUCGCUCUUCCACUUGGGACGCUCCUUCUUCAGGGGCUCAUUGCGGCCUGCUCUCUUGCGGGGGCUCCCGGCGGAGGGCCGCUCCCGGCGCUGCCGCCCCACGCAGCCGCCCAUGGCGGGGGCUCACCGACGGCGGCGGCGGCGCGGGCGGCUCGGCAUGGGGCCGGCCCGGCUCCACACCGCACUCGACCGCGGGCCCCGGCGUCGCGCGACCGCACCGCCCGACUCCGAACGCCCGAGCCGCCCCGCCGCCAAAGCCGGCCCUCGCCGCGCCCCGCCUCCCCAGGUGCGCAUGUGACCGCCCCGUCGCGUCCGCCGCUCCCCGCUGCCGCUCCGCGGGGAGCGCCGCCCAC
This 524-nucleotide long non-coding RNA is filed under the name Gallus gallus (chicken). The record is from RNAcentral. Lineage: Eukaryota; Metazoa; Chordata; Aves; Galliformes; Phasianidae.